This 256-nucleotide unclassified non-coding RNA is filed under the name Hevea brasiliensis (rubber tree). Lineage: Eukaryota; Viridiplantae; Streptophyta; Magnoliopsida; Malpighiales; Euphorbiaceae. The record is from RNAcentral.
UUACAUCAGACCCAAACCUAUGGAAAAACGUGAAAAAUAACAAAUACAUGAGUUUUGGACAGCAAUCAUACACCAUAAUAACAGUAAAUAUGACAAAAUCUUUGAAAUUUGAAUAUCUUACCCUUCUUUUUAUAUCAAAUUCAACAAUAGAAGUUAUAAUCAAUAUUCCCCAGAAUCACUCUUUUAAAUGGGUGCAUAUCCAAUAAAUGACAUCUUCACAGAUAUGAGCGCGGAGCUCUCAUCUGAAGAAAGUGAG